GGGAAGAACAAACGUGUAAGUAACUGUGCACGUCUUGACGGUACCUAAUCAGAAAGCCACGGCUAACUACGUGCCAGCAGCCGCGGUAAUACGUAGGUGGCAAGCGUUAUCCGGAAUUAUUGGGCGUAAAGCGCGCGUAGGCGGUUUUUUAAGUCUGAUGUGAAAGCCCACGGCUCAACCGUGGAGGGUCAUUGGAAACUGGGGAACUUGAGUGCAGAAGAGGAAAGUGGAAUUCCAAGUGUAGCGGUGAAAUGCGUAGAGAUUUGGAGGAACACCAGUGGCGAAGGCGACUUUCUGGUCUGUAACUGACACUGAGGCGCGAAAGCGUGGGGAGCGAACAGGAUUAGAUACCCUGGUAGUCCACGCCGUAAACGAUGAGUGCUAAGUGUUAGAGGGUUUCCGCCCUUUAGUGCUGCAGCAAACGCAUUAAGCACUCCGCCUGGGGAGUACGACCGCAAGGUUGAAACUCAAAGGAAUUGACGGGGGCCCGCACAAGCGGUGGAGCAUGUGGUUUAAUUCGAAGCAACGCGAAGAACCUUACCAAAUCUUGACAUCCUUUGACCGCUCUAGAGAUAGAGUUUUCCCCUUCGGGGGACGAAGUGACAGGUGGUGCAUGGUUGUCGUCAGCUCGUGUCGUGAGAUGUUGGGUUAAGUCCCGCAGCGAGCGCAACCCUUAAGCUUAGUUGCCAUCAUUAAGUUGGGCACUCUAAGUUGACUGCCGGUGACAAACCGGAGGAAGGUGGGGAUGACGUCAAAUCAUCAUGCCCCUUAUGAUUUGGGCUACACACGUGCUACAAUGGACAAUACAAAGGGCAGCUAAACCGCGAGGUCAAGCAAAUCCCAUAAA
This 847-nucleotide ribosomal RNA is filed under the name uncultured Staphylococcus sp. RNAcentral's name for it is "bacterial SSU rRNA". It matches the Rfam family "Bacterial small subunit ribosomal RNA", at positions 442 to 1280 of the family's 1533-position model. The record is from RNAcentral. Lineage: Bacteria; Bacillati; Bacillota; Bacilli; Caryophanales; Staphylococcaceae.